RNAcentral lists this long non-coding RNA (638 nucleotides) under Citrus x clementina. RNAcentral describes it as "Citrus clementina (C. clementina) long non-coding RNA (CCLE_LNC001815)". The record is from RNAcentral. Lineage: Eukaryota; Viridiplantae; Streptophyta; Magnoliopsida; Sapindales; Rutaceae.
AAUAUCAAAUUAAAUACUAUUUAACUCCAUUAAUUUAAUUAUUUAAUAUAGUCUAAUCCAAUGAUACAGGCACUUCAGACGUAGCCCAGGUCUUGAUGGUGCUUUCAUGGGACAUCAUUUUUCUACAUUAAUUCAAUUAUAUAAUGUCUUUGUUGCUGAGCUUUACAUGUAAUUUUACGCCACAUCGAAAUUGUACACUCUGAGAGUUAACUUUAAUGUUACUAAGAUUUCAGCUUCUUCUUUUCUAAAGAGUGACAACUUCAUCCUUACGUGACAAUUUCGCACUAGGUGGUACAACUAUUUACACAUGGUAAAUUGAUACACUCCAAUUAAUUUUACUGCUUCCUCAUCUAAAAAAUGAGCAAAUAUUGUUACUGAUAUUUUAGCGAAUAUCUGAUAAUUUUGUAGAUUUCAAGUGGUAGGAUCAUCCAUCCCUCUUUAAAGAUUCAAAAAAAAAUUUCUCGAUGAUCCUUGGGGGAUAUUCCAAUAUCAUUUUGUUUAACGUUCUUACGAAAUGCUAGCUUUGUAACUUUGCUUUUUUCCAUAAUAUAUUUUUCCUCUCUUGAAGUUUUGAAAAUUAGUGAAAAAUCACAUGCUGGAAUUCAUGUAAAUUAGGAAGUUUACUAUUAUUUGUUAAA